CAACUUCAACAAUGAAUGGUUCUUAGGCAAUGACUGCAGCCAGAAAUGGUCCUUGGUCCAGUUCGCCCUGGUGGCCUCGCUGCCAGGACUGGGCCUUGCUGUGAUUGUGGGCGUCAUCGUAUACCUUGUGCAUUUCUUCAGGAAGCCAAAGGGUCAUGCAGAUGUGGAAAGUCCCAAGACAGCAAGACAGACCCCAAGCACAAGCUUCGGACACAGCAGACCCGGGAAUAUGUAUGCAAACCCAGUGUUUGCUUCUGACGUGGCGAACAACAGGAGGUCUGAGUCACCCAAAACAGCACAAGAGGAUAUUUCUAUGAUGAGUCGGCCAUUUAGCUAUUCUAGCCAGCCUUCAGCAACUAGCCAGACCUACAACAAUCCAUAUGCCAAGGUGACCAGGAAUCCAUAUGAGGAAGCAAAUGGAUUUAGUGACAACAGAAGAUCUACACAAAAUGGCAUUACGAGAGGGUUUCAACAGGCAAGUUUGAGUUCUCCGUCAUACUCAGCCCCAGACUACGACACCAGGUCUCAGCUUCCUCGUGCCCAGAUGGGAAGACACUACUGAGAGGAGCUCCUGGAGGGGAAGAAUUAACAGCCCACUACAAAGUUUGAUUCCCUGCCUUUGGAAAUCAUAGGGCAAGGCUAGGAAAUGCCUAAUUUCUUUCUACUACCUCCUUACAUUAACACAGUCACCUUUGAGCACUUACUCAGAGUAAAAUGCCAUGUAACGUAACCCAUAUAUUUAACUGUAUUCACAUUUUCAAAUGAAUUUCAUGUGCCACAACUUUGCUUCAAGCUAAAAAUCUACAGUAAUCUGAAGAUGUUUCAGCCAAAAAAGUUGCAUUAUAUUCAAGAUGGUUUUUUAAUGUACUCCCACAUAAUUGCAUCUGACCACUAAAGGAACUUUUUGUCAUAAGUAUUUGUCAUGGGGUCAGAAAUGUGACACUUUUAAUAUAUCCUAUGUAGUCAGUUUACAUUCAAAAUCAUGAAAACAUCUGCAUUACAUUCUGUCACAAGACUGCACAAUGCAUUUGUCAACCAUUGUUUCCACAGCUGGUCAUAAUUCAUUCUUGUCUUGUACUAUGACCUGCGAAGGCCCUGUGGAAGUAGUUGAAAACUCGCUGUUAAAACUGUGCCACCUAGUGAACAGGUUUUGUAAAAGAUGCAGAAAAUUGCCUUUAAGGAUCCAAGUGCUCUAAGCCCAUGGAAACUGCUGCAGUUGACAAACCCGUAACCUUUAAGCUGCAAAGGAACAGUCCAACCACUGAACUUUACGGACUCCCCCCCCCACCAGUACACAAUACUUAAAAUGUUUAAAAAUAUUUAAAAUCAAUUAAUUCUUUUAAAAAGAUGGUCUGUAGUAAUUUUUACACAUUAAAAAAAAUGGUCUGUCUUAUGUGUAUAAUGCAUUUACAUACACUGCCCACCUCUUCAUACAACUCAAAUCUGAAAUGCAGGAAGGUAUGAGAAAAAUAUGGAGAAACAUGGCAUUGUAUUUUCUUGGAUAUUUUUCACCUAACUCAGUCAUAUCAUGUUUACCAGCGAUAGUCUAUCCCAUCCUCUUA
Molecule: long non-coding RNA, 1562 nt
Filed under: Scleropages formosus (Asian bonytongue)
Lineage: Eukaryota; Metazoa; Chordata; Actinopteri; Osteoglossiformes; Osteoglossidae
Description: lncRNA (ENSSFOG00015024878.1)
Source: RNAcentral